RNAcentral lists this long non-coding RNA (5385 nucleotides) under Musa acuminata (dwarf banana). RNAcentral's name for it is "long non-coding RNA (MACU_LNC005467)". Lineage: Eukaryota; Viridiplantae; Streptophyta; Magnoliopsida; Zingiberales; Musaceae. The record is from RNAcentral.
CCAGCUCUUUUUCUGCGAUCCGACUGGCUAUGUUGAUGCUGAGCUUCCUCAACUUGGUCAGCUUGGCCAACUGAUGGAGAUGACAAACAUGUUUGUCAUCAGGCCCACUGAUCAGUAAAAACCCCUUGAGCACUUCCAGAUCGGAGAGGUUGGCGAUGCUCUUGGGCAUCUUGUUGAGCCGGAAGCACUCCGACACGUCCAGGUACUGCAGCUUCUUGGCGGACCCGAUCGCCUCAGGCAACUUCUCCAGAUUGUGGCACGCCCGGAGGUCCAACACCACCAGCUUUGUGAGCUUGCCGAUGGAGUCGGGAAGCGUUUCCACCCUCGAUACGCCUCUGAGGCUCAUGUACCGCAAGCUCUUGCAGUUAUGGAGCCCCUUCAAGAACUCCUCGUUCUUGACCACGAUAUCGUUCUUCUGGUCCGAGUCCUGCCACCGCCCCAGCUGCAUUGUGGUCAUCUCGCCCUUGUUGACCAGCCAUGUGGGUUCGAAGUCGACGUAGCGCUUGUCGACGUUGUAGAUGGUGAGCAGUCGACGUCCCGCAUCGUCGCCGAUGGGGUUUUGUUCGAGGCGCAAGCACGCACGGCGACUCCAGGAGUAGUCGUUGCUGGGGCGGCCGUCCCGGUCGAAAUCGAGGAAGCCGUUGCUCUUGGCGACGGUGAUCAACAGCCUGCGAAUCCACGACUGUAUCCUGAAGUAGUGCACCUUGUCACAGUGCUUCUUCUUGAUGGUUAUGAUCAGGCCCUUGGAGACGAGUUGGUCGAAGCAUUUCUUCCCUUCCCUAGAACUCGUCACUAUUGUCUCGCCCAUCCACCAGUGGAUCAGCAGCCUCUUCUUGAGGAUAGCUUUCGCCGGGAAGACGGUGAGGCAGAAGAGGCAAUGCUUCAGCUGAGUCUCGAAGCUGUCGACCACAAGCAAAAGGUGCGCCCAAGCGGAGCUCUCUUGGAUCUGCCACUCCAGUGGGAGCACUUUUUCUUCCUCGCCCUCCUUCCCCUCAGCCUUGGAUUCCUGUUCACCCGACGAAUCCUUUGACUUCUCCUCUGAACUCUCGAGUAUUGCAAUGAUUUUGUCGAGCUUUUCGAGUGGGCUCUCUGUUUUCGAGGAAUUCGACGUCUUGAAGGUGAUUUCCGGUCCCAACAAUUCGUCGACUUGCCUGGCGACGAGUGCAAAUUUAUUUAUGGCGGCGUCUUCUUUGCCCUUGGAUUCCCGCAACUCUUUUCUCAGCUCCUCCAUUUUUUUCUUGAUAUCGUCGAUCUUCGUAGCAACAACCUGGGAAGAAGCACCCUUCGGAUCGGGGACGAGGAGGCCUUUGGUUUCUUCCAAACGCUUCAGCAACCGAGACACUACUUCGACGCUGGAUCCGCCGCACGGGAACAUGGUCGGAAGCAAGAAAUGAGGCACAGGAGAAGGUUGGGGUUAUGGUGGCUUCGUGUUACGUCUGCAACUCAUAUAGCUGCAUCGGCAUAAUCUACGUGAGGCACAAGGAAGAGAAAAGGAAUAUAAAAAAAAUAGAGAGAAUAAAGAGAAAAGAGAAAGAGAAAAGAGAAAGAGGGGAGAAUAAAAAAAGAGAAAUAUAUUUUAAUAAUAACAAUAGCUUAGAUUUAACAUAUAUAUAUAUAUAUAUGAAUAUUAAAAAUUGAAAAGGAAAAGAAAUAAAAGGAACAAACACACAAAAAGCAAAAGAGAAAAAAAAAACAUGGACAAAGAAAAAAAUAGAAAAAGAAAAAGAAAAAAAGAGAAAGUUUAGGUUGCACAUUAUUACUCCACCUACCGGAGGCAGCACAUCUUCUUCAAUACUCUCAUUGCAAAGCAACACACCAUAUCUCAAUCAAAAUUCUGAUGUACGGUUCAUUUCAUUGAGUAAAAAAGAACUGGGCAUGGGCAUCAGCAAGAUUGCAUCAGGAAUAUAUAUAUAUAUAUAUAUAUAUUUAUUUAUUUAUUUAUACAUAUAUAUGUAUACAUAUAUACACAUAUAUAUAUAUAUAUAUGUAUAUAUAUAUAUAUAUAUAUAUGCAUACACAUGUAUAUACAUAUGCAUACACAUGUAUAUACAUAUGCAUACACAUGUAUAUACAUAUACAUACAUAUGUAUAUAUAUAUCGGGUCGAGAACUCCCCGUCUUGUUAUGGCCUUCGUGCAAGGUGAUACUUUAAGGAGCACAAUAUUUCAAUUUCGGAAGUUAUCUCGAAUCCAACUCGGAAGCUAUCUCAAAUUUACGUCAUAGUCACAUCGGAUCUAUCUUGAAUCUAUCUUAGAGCUGCCUCAUAUUCUUUUUGAAGUAUAACAUUCCUUUGUCAUGAAUAUCUCGAACAUUUUUGCGCACAUGAGUUUUGACUAAGUUGGGGUGAUUAAGAGGUCAAUAACUUUUUCCCAUAAUAGUUUGGUAUUAGAAGGAGACCCGAUAUUAUAGAAAUAUCUAUCUACCCAUCCUCUUAAUGAAUGCUCCAAUGAGGAGGCAUCGUCUCUAAUCUACAACACUUUUAUUUAGAAAGAACAACCAUCAUUCCUCUCAUGGGUAGAUGUGUCCAUCUCGAUAAAAAUGCCAACAGGACACUCAAGUCACUUAUUUGUUCUGUUCCUAAGCUUUGCCAAUUAGAUGUAGAUGCUUAAGGGCGUAUUGCAAGUUCUUACUUUGCUCUUACCUCAAUUAGUCCAACAUAUGCUAUUGCCAUCUCAACUACAUAAUAUUUAAUUAAUUUUUAAAAUAUAAUUUUAUCAAACAAUACUUAUGUUAAUACAUAUUUAAAAUAUAGUUUUCAUCUAUUAUUUUUCAAAUACUCAAAGUAUUUUAUAAUUAUACAUUAUUCAAACCCUUUUCUCCAAAUAUACUUGAAAAAUAUAUUUUCCCAAACAAAUACACUCUAUAUCCAUUAGGAUAUCUAUGACACUCUUGAUAUACUUAUACAUUAUAUGAUAAUCCUUUUAUUACAAGUUGGCUAGAUUGCUAUGGAAUUCAUAUAUAUGUUGAUAUUAUCUUAUCAAUAAUUAUAAUGAAGUCAAUGCAAAUUCAUUGUCAUUGAUGAAUAAGGUUAUUGACAUGACAAAAAUUAUUCGUACAUAUCGACAUGUAUCCACCUUAGCUCCUUCGCAUUGACAUUAACUAUAUUUACACCACCACUCUUUUGAAUAUCUCGAAAUGCAUCAAGUUACCUCAACAAAAUUGAGGUGCACUUUCAUAAACCACAUUAAAAUUAUAACUCUAUCACAAUAAUAUCAUCAUAUUAACACCACAACUUACGCAUCAUGAUAUCACAACAAAAUUGAGAUAUAACUUCACAAUCUAAUCCAAAUGAAAGUAGUACACCACUCUAACCUAGCCUUUAGUACUAGAAUAUGCUAACCGAUCUUGUCUCACCAUAAGAUCAUUUUAUCACUAUAGGAGGUCCUUUCUAACACAAUGCUUAACUCGUGACAGCCACCCCUAUAGCACUUUGUCAAUGUGAGAUCACGGAAAAAAAAAAAAAGCCUCUUCUAGAUUGUCAUCUAGAGGAGGAAAUGACAUCGACUAGAUUGUCAUAUGGAGAAGAAAUUUCCUUGUCGAGAAAGGAUAACUCCAAAUGAGAACAUGCAAAAUAAAACAUUUGUUUAUCUUUACAUAAAUAUUUUUUUUCUCUUUUAUUAUAAGCUUAAUAGACUAAAAUAAAUAUAAAACAUUCUUUGACAUGAGCAUCAAAGAGAUUAUAAAUCAACCUUUAUAUCAUUUGUUUUACGAAGGAUUUCACGAGGUUAAACAAGAAAAUUAAACUCGAUUAUCAUUUCUCAAAAUUAACUUAAUUACAACAAGACUGAUUAAUAGUUAUUAGAGCAACGAUAACUUUUAAGAAUCAUGAAUUUAAUUUUUAUUAAUUUAUAAUAUAAAUAUUUUGUUAAGUAAUAUAUAUAUUUUCGAAAAUAAAGAAUAGAUGUACAAAUAUAACUCUUUAUUGAAGAAAAAAAAUAGAAUUUCUCGAAGAACUUGACAAGAUUAAUUGUUCUUUGCGGUUGAAAAUGAGAACGAUCUCCGAGUAAGUUUCACACACACACAAACAAAGCGAACUUCCACACAAACUCAAUUGUCAACCGAAGAAAAGAAAAAAAAACAAAAAAAAAGGCGAUCAAAGCAGAAAGCAAAGCAGUUGAUACAUUAUUAAUAGUUCAAAGGAAACAUGGAAUUCCCAAAGCACACACACACGACAAAAGAUAUUAUGCGUAAGUCCGCACAUACGAGCACGCACAGCAACUGAUCAAUCGGUCUCCGGUGGCGGCAAGUUAAUGGCUUUCGGCUCAUCCUCAGCACUCUUUUUGGCAUCCUCCUUGCACCAAAGCCCUUCUUUAUUGCAAGGCCAAGAACUUGAUUCCUUGUGCGAUGAACUUUCUUUUCCGCACUUGAAUUUCUCCACGACUCGGAGCUCUGGGAACGAACUUGUCAGCUUCUCCCAGCUGGGAUGAUCCAGAUAAUUGAGGAACCUCAGGCGCAGCACCUCCACCUUCCACCCCCGGCCGUCUCCAAGACUUCGAAGCAUCCCUCCCCUCAGGUACAGUUUUUUCAGCUCUGGUAAUUUAAGGGGAUCAAUCCACUGCGGGAACUCCUCCUCGGUGAAGCACCGGAGAUCCAGCUUCUCUAUCGUACUAGGAAGGGUAACCUUAGCGGGAUCAUGGGAACGAUCCGCUGCAAUCUUCUUGGUUUCUUUCUUCGUCAGUGACCUCGCUCCCGAAGCUUGUCUGUCGGUGGUCGGGCGAGCCUCAUGGUCGGAUUUUAGUUGAACUUUCUUCGUAGUGGCAUCAGCAGCAGCAGCAGCAGUAGCAGUAGCAGCAUCAGAUGAUUGUUUGGACUUCGGUGGGAGAUCUUCGACUGAGUCCUUACCAGUCCCUUGUUGUUUCUUCUCCUGUGAGGGCGCCUCAGCACCUCUGGUGGAAUGAGAGUCUUCCUUCUUCGUUGUAACCACUGCCCAUGUUAUGAUAAGGGUGGUGAGCGUCUUCAACUCGCCCACCUUCUCCAGCUCCGUUUCUGCGAUCCGACUGCCAAUGUUGAUGCUGAGCUUCCUCAACUUGGCCAGCUUGGCCAACUCAUGGAGAUGACAAACAUGUUUGUCAUCAGGCCCACUGAUCAGUAAAAACCCCUUGAGCACUUCCAGAUCGGAGAGGUUGGCGAUGCUCUUGGGCAUCUUGUCGAGCAGGAAGCAGUCCGACACGUCCAGGUACUGCAGCUUCUUGGCGGACCCGAUCUCCUCCGGCAGCUUCUCCAGAUUGUGGCACGCCCGGAGGUCCAACACCAUCAGCUUGGUGAGCUUGCCGAUGGACUCGGGAAGCGUUUCCACCCUCGAUACGCCUCUUAGGCUCAUGUACCGCAAGCUCUUGCAGUGGUCGAUCCCCUUCAAGAACUCGUCGUUCUUGACCUCGAUAUGGUG